CGGGUGAGUAACACGUGGAUAACCUACCUAUAAGACUGGGAUAACUUCGGGAAACCGGAGCUAAUACCGGAUAAUAUUUUGAACCGCAUGGUUCAAAAGUGAAAGACGGUCUUGCUGUCACUUAUAGAUGGAUCCGCGCUGCAUUAGCUAGUUGGUAAGGUAACGGCUUACCAAGGCAACGAUGCAUAGCCGACCUGAGAGGGUGAUCGGCCACACUGGAACUGAGACACGGUCCAGACUCCUCGGGAGGCAGCAGC
RNAcentral lists this ribosomal RNA (257 nucleotides) under uncultured Staphylococcus sp. RNAcentral describes it as "partial 16S ribosomal RNA". It matches the Rfam family "Bacterial small subunit ribosomal RNA", at positions 103 to 355 of the family's 1533-position model. The record is from RNAcentral. Lineage: Bacteria; Bacillati; Bacillota; Bacilli; Caryophanales; Staphylococcaceae.